RNAcentral lists this small nuclear RNA (106 nucleotides) under Procavia capensis (Cape rock hyrax). Lineage: Eukaryota; Metazoa; Chordata; Mammalia; Hyracoidea; Procaviidae. The record is from RNAcentral.
GUGCUCGCUUCGGCAGCACAUGUACUAAAAUUGGAAUGAUGCAGAGAAGAUUAGCAUGGCCGCUGCGCAAGGAUGACACACAGACUGUGAAGUGUUCCAUAUUUUU